This 253-nucleotide ribosomal RNA is filed under the name uncultured bacterium. RNAcentral's name for it is "partial 16S ribosomal RNA". It matches the Rfam family "Bacterial small subunit ribosomal RNA", at positions 524 to 776 of the family's 1533-position model. The record is from RNAcentral.
UACGAAGGGUGCAAGCGUUACUCGGAAUUACUGGGCGUAAAGCGUGCGUAGGUGGUUUGUUAAGUCUGUUGUGAAAGCCCCGGGCUCAACCUGGGAAUGGCAAUGGAUACUGGCAAGCUAGAGUGCGGUAGAGGGUAGUGGAAUUCCCGGUGUAGCGGUGAAAUGCGUAGAGAUCGGGAGGAACACCAGUGGCGAAGGCGGCUAUCUGGACGGUUUCUGACACUAAGACUCGAAAGCGUGGGGAGCAAACAGG